UACGAGAGGCCCAAACGUUAUUCGGAUUUACUGGGCUUAAAGAGUUCGUAGGCGGCGCAGAAAGUAGGGUGUGAAAGCCCUCGGCUCAACCGAGGAAUUGCGCCCUAAACUACUGUGCUUGAGGGACCUAGAGGUGAGCAGAACUGAUGGUGGAGCGGUGAAAUGCGUUGAUAUCAUCAGGAAUACCGGAGGCGAAGGCGGCUCACUGGGGGUCUUCUGACGCUGAGGAACGAAAGCCAGGGGAGCGAACGGG
This 253-nucleotide ribosomal RNA is filed under the name uncultured bacterium. RNAcentral describes it as "partial 16S ribosomal RNA". It matches the Rfam family "Bacterial small subunit ribosomal RNA", at positions 524 to 776 of the family's 1533-position model. The record is from RNAcentral.